CACUGAUAAAACUAGGUAGUAAAACCAAUUGAAACCAGAUAAACUGGCAGUCUAGGCCUAUUAGAGAAACUCGCUCUAUAAUCGACAAUCCCCGUUAAAUCUAACUCUUUAUUCUUAAAGCUUAUAUACCGCCGUUUCAGAAUCUAUUUAACAAUAAUAUUCUACAUUUAAAUUCACUUCCUCUCUAAAAAUCAGGUCAAGGUGUAGCCCAUAAAAGAGCAAGAGUAAGUUACACUAAGACAUUACUUAAGAAAAAUUUAUCUAAAGAUAAUUAGAAAAAGAAUUUAUAAGUACAUUAGAAUCAAAAAUUCAAAUAGAACGACACAGCCAAGAUGC
RNAcentral lists this ribosomal RNA (336 nucleotides) under Metagonia potiguar. Its description in RNAcentral is "partial 12S ribosomal RNA". Lineage: Eukaryota; Metazoa; Arthropoda; Arachnida; Araneae; Pholcidae. The record is from RNAcentral.